AUAUUAUUGUUGAUUUAAUGUAUAGAGUGAAAGAAACCUUUGUAAGCGGAAACAUGCGAUGAUGCUUGCGUUACCAUAAGCAAUCCCUGUUGUUUAUUUUACCAUCCUAUUGUUUACCGAAUACUGCUCGAUUCUUGGAAGCAUUAGUUGUGGACUUAAAAAAAAUUUAAAACGAGCUCUCCCUCACCUUUGUCUAAUAUCAAAAGGUGACAGCGCCAUUUGUUCAAUUUCAUUUAUCAAAAGCGAUGUAACUUAAUAUGUCUUCAUGUCCGUAAAACGACAAAAAAAUUUGGAUACAAUAGCAUACUUGACUUAUAUUAAAGAAAACCUUAGUGACCCU
Molecule: non-coding RNA, 340 nt
Organism: Schizosaccharomyces pombe (fission yeast)
Lineage: Eukaryota; Fungi; Ascomycota; Schizosaccharomycetes; Schizosaccharomycetales; Schizosaccharomycetaceae
Source: the annotation of a GenBank genome assembly